UACAUACUCCCUCCGUCUAAAAUUACUUGUCACACAAAUGAAUAAAAAUGGAUAUAUCUAAAAUUAGAAUACAUCUAGAUUCAUCCAUUUUUAUGACAAAUAUUUUCAGACGGAGGAAGUAUUUG
This is a non-coding RNA of Hordeum vulgare subsp. vulgare (domesticated barley), 125 nucleotides long. Lineage: Eukaryota; Viridiplantae; Streptophyta; Magnoliopsida; Poales; Poaceae. The record is from Rfam.